This 454-nucleotide ribosomal RNA is filed under the name uncultured bacterium. Its description in RNAcentral is "bacterial SSU rRNA". It matches the Rfam family "Bacterial small subunit ribosomal RNA", at positions 335 to 799 of the family's 1533-position model. The record is from RNAcentral.
ACUCCUACGGGAGGCAGCAGUGGGGAAGUCUUGCGCAAUGGGCGAAAGACCUGACGCAGCCAUGCCGCGUGAAUGAUGAAGGUCUUAGGAUUGUAAAAUUACUUUCACCGGGGACGAUAAUGACGGUACCCGGAGAAGAAGCCCCGGCUAACUUCGUGCCAGCAGCCGCGGUAAUACGAAGGGGCGUAGCGUUGCUCGGAAUUACUGGGGCGUAAAGCGCAUGCAGGUGGUUUGUUAAGUCAGAUGUGAAAGCCCGGGGCGUCAACCUCGGAAUAGCAUUUGAAACUGGCAGACUAGAGUACUGUAGAGGGGGGUAGGAAUUUCAGGUGUAGCGGUGAAAUGCGUAGAGAUCUGAAGGAAUACCGGUGGCGAAGGCGGCCCCCUGGACAGAUACUGACACUCAGAUGCGAAAGCGUGGGGAGCAAACAGGAUUAGAUACCCUGGUAGGAUAGCG